CCCAUUUGUUAUUCCAGGUUAUGUUGUUUAAUUUCUACUGAUUUAAGAAUUUUCUAGUUUUCUUCCUGUUACUGACUUGUAGUUUUAUAUCAUCAUGGCCAGAAAAGAUACUUAAUAUGAUGUCUAUCUUCUUAAAUUUGUAAGACUUAUUUUGUGGUAUAACAUGUGAUCUAUUCUGGACAGUAAUCCAUGUCUACAUUAGAAUAACGUAUAUUCUGCUCAUGUGGUGUGAAACAUUCUAUAUGUGUCUGUUGGGUCUUUUUGAUAUAUAGUUUCAGUCAAGUGUUUUCUUAUUGCUUUUCUGUCUGGAUGAUCUAUCUUUUGUAAAAAGUAGGAUAUCAACGUACCCUAAUAUGAUUGUAUUGCUGUUUAUUUCUCCUUUCAGAUCUGUUAACAUUUUGUUUAUAUAUUUAUUUGCUCUGCUGUUGGAUUCAUAUGUAUUUACAGAUAAUUAUAUAUUCUUGAUGAAUAGAUAUCUUUAUCAUUAUAUAAUGGCCUUUUUUUUUCUACUGACAGUUUUUGACUUGACUUAACCUCCAUUUUGUCUGAUACAAGUAUAGCUACCAUAGUUCUCUCUUUGUUUCCAUUUGCAUGAAAUAUCUUUUUCUAUCCCUUCACCUUCAAUUAGGGUGUCCUUGAAGGUGAAAUGAUUCUCUUGUAGGCAACAUAUAUUUGGGUUUUGUUUUCAAUAAAUUCAUUCAGGUGCUUUAUAUCCUUUGAUUGGAGAAUUUAAUGCAUUACCAUUUAAAGUAAUUAUUGAUAGGUAGGAUUUACUAUUGACAUGUUGUUAGUUAUUUUCUGGAUGAUUUGUAGCUCUUUUUUUCUUUCCUUUCAUUGUUUUUCUUUGUGAUUUCAUUAUUUUCUAUAGCAGAAUACUUUGAUUCAUUUAUCUUUAUCUUUUGUAUGUUUAACAUAGGUUCUUCCUUUGUGGUUACUAUGAGGCUUAUAUAAACUAUUAACAACUUAAUGUCAGUCACAUACCAAAGUUCUGCAUUUUAAUUUUCCCAUUUUAUCGUUGCUAUUACAGUUUACAUCUUUUCAUAUUGUAUAUCCUUUAUCAAGUUAAUGCAGCUAUGGUUAUUUUUAAUAAUUUUUAACCUUUAUAUUAGAGUUAUAAGUGAUUUACACACCACCAUUACACCUUUAUCAGUGAGGUUUAUACUUUCAUAUGUUUUUAUAUUACUGAUUAGCAGCCUUUUAAUUUUAGCUUUUGUUUUCCUUUAACAUUUCCUGCAAGGCAGGUCUAGUGGUAAUAAACUCCCUUAGCUAGGUACUUUAGUCUGGAAAAUUCUAUAUUUUUCUCUCAUUUUUGAAGAAUAUUUUUGCUGGGUAAAAUACUUUUCUUUCAACACUUUGUAUAUGUCAUCCCAUUGUCUUCUGGCAUACAAAGUUUCUGCUGAAAAAUCUGCUCAUAGCCUUAUUAGGACCCUUUCUAUGGGAUAUACUUCUUUUCUUUUGUUCUUUUCAUAAGUCUUUCUUUGUCUUUGAUGUUUUAUAGUUUGAUUGUAAUGUGUUUCAGUGUACUCAAAGACAGAUCAUUUUAAAUCAUCCAGUCGGAGAAGAAAAAGAAAAAAGGAAUGAAAAGGAAUGAGGAAAGCCUACAGGAUCUAUGGGGCACAAUCCAGAGAGCUAACAUUUGUAAAAUUCAGGAGUUUCAGAAGGUGAAGAGAGAGAGAAAGAGAGAAAAAAAAAAAAAGCUUAUUUAAA
Long non-coding RNA from Sapajus apella (tufted capuchin), 1707 nucleotides. RefSeq lists it as uncharacterized. Lineage: Eukaryota; Metazoa; Chordata; Mammalia; Primates; Cebidae. The record is from RefSeq and is a predicted model, not a curated record. The transcript is spliced from 2 exons.